CAAAGUGUAGCUUAAAUAAAGCAUCCAGCUUACACCUAGAAG
RNAcentral lists this transfer RNA (42 nucleotides) under Haringtonhippus francisci. RNAcentral describes it as "partial tRNA-Val". The record is from RNAcentral. Lineage: Eukaryota; Metazoa; Chordata; Mammalia; Perissodactyla; Equidae.